This 465-nucleotide ribosomal RNA is filed under the name uncultured bacterium. RNAcentral's name for it is "partial 16S ribosomal RNA". It matches the Rfam family "Bacterial small subunit ribosomal RNA", at positions 28 to 507 of the family's 1533-position model. The record is from RNAcentral.
GACGAACGCUGGCGGCGUGCUUAACACAUGCAAGUCGAACGGAAAGGCCCUGCUUGCAGGGUACUCGAGUGGCGAACGGGUGAGUAACACGUGGGUGAUCUGCCCUGCACUUCGGGAUAAGCCUGGGAAACUGGGUCUAAUACCGGAUAGGAGCCAUUUUUAGUGUGAUGGUUGGAAAGUUUUUUCGGUGUAGGAUGAGCUCGCGGCCUAUCAGCUUGUUGGUGGGGUAAUGGCCUACCAAGGCGGCGACGGGUAGCCGGCCUGAGAGGGUGGCCGGCCACAUUGGGACUGAGAUACGGCCCAGACUCCUACGGGAGGCAGCAGUGGGGAAUAUUGCACAAUGGGCGCAAGCCUGAUGCAGCGACGCCGCGUGGGGGAUGACGGCCUUCGGGUUGUAAACUCCUUUCGCUAGGGACGAAGCUUUUUGUGACGGUACCUAGAUAAGAAGCACCGGCUAACUACGUG